AAACAGCUCACCGGGCUUAAUGAAGUAGCACUCGCUUGAUCACCUCACCAACUGCAGCUCUUCUCCUUUUCCUUCCUUAUGGAUGCUCCAGCUUCACUCUUCUUCGUGUGUGCCCCAUUGCUUCUCCUCAUCGCCAUGCUCUGACUCCACCAGGAUCCCAAGGAAUGUCACCUCAAACCUGGUCAGCAUGUAGUAAACAGUGCAGUAGCAAAAGCCUGAAAUAGGACUCACACAAACAACUAUAAGUGAUACGGUCGAUGCCCUCCAAGUCAUCAAUGGUAUAUCCAAUUAUAUAAGCAUAACUAUAAAGCACAUGUUUAGGAUGGCAGAAAUCAGCAUGGUCAAUACUCACACGAGGAUGACAUUUAUCAUUAAGCUCAAGACUAGCAUGGAAAUGAUGUGUUUCAUUAAGCAUAGGACUAGCACGAGGAAAGUAACUAUGAUCAUCGCAAAUGAGAGUAAUGCCACUAACAGGGUAUAUAUCAUCAUAUCCAAGCAAAUGAGUUUUCAAAUCAAUCUUAAGUGAUGGUAUCAUGUAAUGCAAGGUGGUAGCAAAGAAAUCACAAGGCAUCAUGUCAUCAAGAGGAUUGAGUAAACCUGACACAUCACGCUCUGGUAUGACAAUAGGCAAAUGAAUCUCAUGUUCUUCAUCUUCAUCUACAGCAGCUUCUUGUACUUCUUCAGGAGUAAUAGAUGAUGAGUCUUCAACUUGAUCACUUGGGAAUUGCAGCUCUUGACCAUCUUGUUCCUUGUCUUCUAGUUCAUCUUCUUCAAUCUGAGGUAUCUCUUGCUCAAGGCACUUGCUAUCUUGCUCAACGAAAUGUGAAGGUGCUGGAACCUCACAUGUAACCAUGGAUAUCUCAGCCACACUCAACUCAAGUUGUGAAGAAAUAGUGCUGCCAGCGUUGAUGUUCUUCUCAAUCUUCCUUACUUCUUCCACUAGCUCUUUUCCACUCUUGAUCUUCUUCAUUUCAUCUAGUAUAACCUUCCUAAUAGGAUCAUCCUCGGCACUCCAACUAAACUCGAGACUAAGCAAUGUGAUCUUUCUAUAUCAUCAAAUUCAUCUUGUGUGGGCACUUGCACAUGAGAUUGCUCGAAAGGUGCUGGAGUUGUUGGUUGACCAAAUGGAGGACCAUUUAACUCCAUUGGACACAUCUCCUGGUAUUGAGGUAUAUGAGUAGGAGGUGAAUAAAUCUAUUGUGGAGCAUAGUUGUGGUUCUCCUCAUUGUACCUGAAUCCCUGCAUUGGAUAACUAGAGGCAAACGAUGAGAUCUCAGGGUUAUUGCUCCUAUAUGACAUAUUCUGGUUUUUAGACCACCCAUGUGUGUAAUUGUUUUGGUAUGAGUUAGGCAGUGGGGCGAAGCUCAUGCCAUAACAAUCGGGAGGAUGGGAGUAACCACACUGACAUUCAGCGGGCGAAUGGCCCUGAAAUCCACAAAUAUGGCAGGUAGGAGCAACAUAAGGAUGGCCUCUGGAAUUAGGAUUGUAAGAACUAGGCCUAUCCUCAAAAACUCCUUCUUGCUGUCGAGCUAAAUCAUCUAAUCGAUGGGAAAUCUUACCUAUCAGUUCUUAAACACUUUCCGUGUUGUUUGUAGUGUUGCUCGCAUAAGCCUGAUGAUCUGAAUAGUAAGCCAUAACCGAGAGGAUAAUCCAACCUGCAAAAAGGAAAAGAAGACAAAAAGAUACUAACUAGAACAGGGGUUAGUGGCUAGAGAUAUAUCACAAAUAUAUAAAGCACAAAAAGGAAACAAGCUAAACCUAGUCUAAAGCCUAGCACAAUCGCUCGAUGCUAGUCCCCGGCAACGGUGCCAAAAUGAUCAGUUGAAAGUACAGUGGGGUUUUUACGCCCAAACUGCGAGUGUCGUGUUCUCCUCAGGGACUAGGCGACGACGACUAUGCUCGACUAAAGCUAGGUGACAGAAUACAAAUGAUGAUUGCAAGGAAAUAAACCUAAACUAAACAUGGUAGUUCCUAAAGAUCAUCGCCAAAGAAAAUGCAAAAUAAGCAAAGAGAUAUUCAGAUUUUCUAUACUCUCUUUUUGGCAAUUUCCAUAUUACUCAAAGAAUUUAAUGCUAACACAAGAAAACAUACGGCUAGGAAAUUAAAAAGACAAGAACAUAUAUAUAACUAUCUAACAUGAACAGUGGGAAGAAACAAGAACUUGAGCUAAUACAUGGACUACAAAACUGAAUAUAUUUCUGCAGAAAAGGGAAGACACUGUGACGACACAUACAUGAACUGGAAUUACGUAAAUUCAGUGCAAGUGACAAGCAUACAUGUACCACACGGUUGACAAAUAUAACAUUCACGAACUUAUUUUAUAUAGAUGCAUGAACUAGUCAGAUCCCAGCAAACAGCUGUUUACAUGUACUCUUCAAAUCUGAACCUUACAAGUCUUGAACAUCUCUCAAUACUAUAGAAUUUCAGAGAGAGAGAGAGAGAGAAGGCAACAGCAGGAGGUUGAGAGAGAAGAAGCAGUAGCAGGGGGCGUUGAGAGGAGGGAGAAGGAGCAGCGGGGCAAAGGAAGAUGGAGUAGCAGCAACGACUUGGAGUUUGGAGAUGGAGAAGGAGCAGAACAACAGCGUGGUAGGGGAAAGUAGAAGAGCAGCAGCAAUAGGGAUUCAGAGAGGAGGCGAGCUUGGAGAAGGAUAGCAGCAGGGAGAGUUGUAGAUGAGCAGCAGCAGUAGCGCGGGGGAGAAGGAGCAGCAGACAGGGAUUCAGAGAAGCGAGGAAGAAGGGAAGAAGAAGCAGCGGCGGUGUGUCUGGCCGGGCACGCCAGCUGGAGGGAGAGGUCGCGCGAGGUGGGCACUGGUGGUUGGCGCUGUGAUGGAUGGAUGAUGGUGUGGGUGGUGGAUGGCGCGGGUGAUGGUGGAGCAACGAGGUCGCCGAAGCGCGUCGCCACGAUGGCCUGGCCGCGGCGGCGGCCGGAGGUGGGAGAAGAAGUGGUGAGGGGGAGAGAGAUGGAGAUGCCAGCUCCCUUUGGGAAUGGAGGCUGCUAGGGAUUUUGAUCCCCUCCGAUCAGAUCUGAAUGUUUUCACUUUGGCCCUCCUCCUUCCUUCUUUUGGCACAAGAUGUUCCCUCCACUUCUUAAGCUAGCCCCCCUAAGCUUUAAUCUUCUUCAAGCUUGAGUCCCUCUUUCUUCUCUUCUUGCCCGUGAUCUUGUUCCUCAAUUCUUUCUAGACAGGAACUUGUAGAUUAUAGUGCCUUGUCGCACUUUUCUGCAAAAGAAACACAAUGACUAGUAAAUGAUUCAUUAUAUGAUUUCCAUGCAAAUAUUCAAUAUUUCACAUCAAGAAUUAAUGGUCAUAUCUCAAUAAACCGCAUAUUUGAGUGCCAAAAGAUGUAUAUGAAAUGUGCUUAUCAAGUUCCCCCACACUUAAAUCUUUGCUUGUCCUCAAGCAAAGGCAUAUGACAAAAGCAAGAACAUGAACAGUGAACUGACUAGAGAAUGUCAAGUGAAGUAGAUCUCUAAACAAUGCAUGCUUUGGACUUGGCUAGUGAAAAUUAAUGGUUAAGAGUGCUACAUAUCAAUAGGACACUAGUAAACUCGACCAUUUUAAACUUUUGCAAUGAUAAACGAAGAUUAGCAAGUUCAAAUGCUGAUUGUGCCAAAGGGUUCCUAAAGAGAGCAUGAUCCCAAAAAAAAACUUAUUACCCGGAACAUAACAUUAUGGUAGAAGCACUUAUUGAAUUUGAAGGAAGUAAUGGUAAUAUUUUAUUGAUCUCACCAAUGGAACAUACCACCGAUCCCAAGAACAUGGUAUACACCCGGCUUGGCCAAUUAUUAGUUUUUUUUAGUUUGUCUCCCCAAAGGAACAUACCACCGAUCCCGAGAACAUGGUGUACACCUGGUUCGACAAUUACAUUUCUAUAAUUAUUAAUUACUGCCCAAGCUAACCUGAUUUCACAUGCCACCGAUCCCGGGAACAUGACAUGCUACUGUAGGUAGCCAGACUUAUUUAUUCAUUAUUACUUAUCUUAAAUGAACAACACAUAAGAACAAAAACAGGAAUCAUCACUUCUCCAUGUCUGGUUCACAUGCUACCGAUCCAGGGAACAUAGCAUGCUAAUCCAUAGUGGUUAGGUGAUUGCUCUCAAUGGGAAGACACUUGGCACAAAUUCAGCAUCUAAACAUGGUGAUCUAGGUGUAUCAUAGUAAAUGCAGAAAAUGACGAAGUUUUCUAGUGUACUAGGGAUUUGAGCACUCAAAACUAGUAGUUCUCACUAAUUUUAGCAAAGCAUGCAUGGUGUAGAUCACUAGUUUACAAGGCAUCCAAAAAUCAAGUUCACAAAUUCACAUCAAGCACAAUGCCAAAGGUGAGAUUCAGCUUGACAACAAGUAAUAACUGGCUCAAGCAACCCAACUAGCAAUUGAAUUCAGCAUGUAUUUAUGAUAUUCAGAAUGGGUCAUGAAACAGCUCACCGGGCUUAAUGAAGUAGCACUCGCUUGAUCACCUCACCAACUGCAGCUCUUCUCCUUUUCCUUCCUUAUGGAUGCUCCAGCUUCACUCUUCUUCGUGUGUGCCCCAUUGCUUCUCCUCAUCGCCAUGCUCUGACUCCACCAGGAUCCCAAGGAAUGUCACCUCAAACCUGGUCAGCAUGUAGUAAACAGUGCAGUAGCAAAAGCCUGAAAUAGGACUCACACAAACAACUAUAAGUGAUACGGUCGAUGCCCUCCAAGUCAUCAAUGGUAUAUCCAAUUAUAUAAGCAUAACUAUAAAGCACAUGUUUAGGAUGGCAGAAAUCAGCAUGGUCAAUACUCACACGAGGAUGACAUUUAUCAUUAAGCUCAAGACUAGCAUGGAAAUGAUGUGUUUCAUUAAGCAUAGGACUAGCACGAGGAAAGUAACUAUGAUCAUCGCAAAUGAGAGUAAUGCCACUAACAGGGUAUAUAUCAUCAUAUCCAAGCAAAUGAGUUUUCAAAUCAAUCUUAAGUGAUGGUAUCAUGUAAUGCAAGGUGGUAGCAAAGAAAUCACAAGGCAUCAUGUCAUCAAGAGGAUUGAGUAAACCUGACACAUCACGCUCUGGUAUGACAAUAGGCAAAUGAAUCUCAUGUUCUUCAUCUUCAUCUACAGCAGCUUCUUGUACUUCUUCAGGAGUAAUAGAUGAUGAGUCUUCAACUUGAUCACUUGGGAAUUGCAGCUCUUGACCAUCUUGUUCCUUGUCUUCUAGUUCAUCUUCUUCAAUCUGAGGUAUCUCUUGCUCAAGGCACUUGCUAUCUUGCUCAACGAAAUGUGAAGGUGCUGGAACCUCACAUGUAACCAUGGAUAUCUCAGCCACACUCAACUCAAGUUGUGAAGAAAUAGUGCUGCCAGCGUUGAUGUUCUUCUCAAUCUUCCUUACUUCUUCCACUAGCUCUUUUCCACUCUUGAUCUUCUUCAUUUCAUCUAGUAUAACCUUCCUAAUAGGAUCAUCCUCGGCACUCCAACUAAACUCGAGACUAAGCAAUGUGAUCUUUCUAUAUCAUCAAAUUCAUCUUGUGUGGGCACUUGCACAUGAGAUUGCUCGAAAGGUGCUGGAGUUGUUGGUUGACCAAAUGGAGGACCAUUUAACUCCAUUGGACACAUCUCCUGGUAUUGAGGUAUAUGAGUAGGAGGUGAAUAAAUCUAUUGUGGAGCAUAGUUGUGGUUCUCCUCAUUGUACCUGAAUCCCUGCAUUGGAUAACUAGAGGCAAACGAUGAGAUCUCAGGGUUAUUGCUCCUAUAUGACAUAUUCUGGUUUUUAGGCCACCCAUGUGUGUAAUUGUUUUGGUAUGAGUUAGGCAGUGGGGCGAAGCUCAUGCCAUAACAAUCGGGAGGAUGGGAGUAACCACACUGACAUUCAGCGGGCGAAUGGCCCUGAAAUCCACAAAUAUGGCAGGUAGGAGCAACAUAAGGAUGGCCUCUGGAAUUAGGAUCGUAAGAACUAGGCCUAUCCUCAAAAACUCCUUCUCGCUGUCGAGCUAAAUCAUCUAAUCGAUGGGAAAUCUUACCUAUCAGUUCUUAAACACUUUCCGUGUUGUUUGUAGUGUUGCUCGCAUAAGCCUGAUGAUCUGAAUAGUAAGCCAUAACCGAGAGGAUAAUCCAACCUGCAAAAAGGAAAAGAAGACAAAAAGAUACUAACUAGAACAGGGGUUAGUGGCUAGAGAUAUAUCACAAAUAUAUAAAGCACAAAAAGGAAACAAGCUAAACCUAGUCUAAAGCCUAGCACAAUCGCU
Molecule: long non-coding RNA, 6196 nt
Filed under: Triticum aestivum (bread wheat)
Lineage: Eukaryota; Viridiplantae; Streptophyta; Magnoliopsida; Poales; Poaceae
Description: long non-coding RNA (TAES_LNC021988)
Source: RNAcentral